RNAcentral lists this ribosomal RNA (327 nucleotides) under uncultured eukaryote. RNAcentral describes it as "partial 18S ribosomal RNA". It matches the Rfam family "Eukaryotic small subunit ribosomal RNA", at positions 1470 to 1796 of the family's 1831-position model. The record is from RNAcentral.
CCCUUAGAUGUUCUGGGCCGCACGCGCGCUACACUGAUUCAUGCAACAAGUUUUGUCCUUGGCUGAUAGGCCUGGGUAAUCUUUGAACGUGAAUCGUGAUGGGGAUAGAUGAUUACAAUUAUUCAUCUUCAACGAGGAAUUCCUAGUAAACGCAAGUCAUCAGCUUGCAUUGAUUACGUCCCUGCCCUUUGUACACACCGCCCGUCGCACCUACCGAUUGAAUGGUCCGGUGAAAUCUUCGGAUCUGAGAGAUGUCUGAUUAAUUUCGGACGCCUUUUGGAAAAGUUGCUUAAACCUUACCAUUUAGAGGAAGGUGAAGUCGUAACA